RNAcentral lists this ribosomal RNA (165 nucleotides) under Clostridioides difficile. RNAcentral describes it as "partial 16S ribosomal RNA". It matches the Rfam family "Bacterial small subunit ribosomal RNA", at positions 1 to 174 of the family's 1533-position model. The record is from RNAcentral. Lineage: Bacteria; Bacillati; Bacillota; Clostridia; Peptostreptococcales; Peptostreptococcaceae.
UUAUUUGAGAGUUUGAUCCUGGCUCAGGAUGAACGCUGGCGGCGUGCCUAACACAUGCAAGUUGAGCGAUUUACUUCGGUAAAGAGCGGCGGACGGGUGAGUAACGCGUGGGUAACCUACCCUGUACACACGGAUAACAUACCGAAAGGUAUGCUAAUACGGGAU